AGGCGUCUAGUUUAUUUAGAAUGUUGUCCUGUGGAGACAAAGGAAGCCAAAGCUGGCGCUUC
This 62-nucleotide transfer RNA is filed under the name Hippopus hippopus. Its description in RNAcentral is "tRNA-His". The record is from RNAcentral. Lineage: Eukaryota; Metazoa; Mollusca; Bivalvia; Cardiida; Cardiidae.